GAAAGUAAACAAGGGCGCAUGGAGGAUGCCUAGGCUCUCGGAGGCGAAGAAGGACGUGAUAAGCUGCGAAAAGUUACGGUAAGGCGCAAAUAGCCGUAGACCCGUAAAUAUCCGAAUGGGGCAACCCGGCCAGCAAUGGCCAUACCGCCAAGCGGUAAGCCAACGCGGGGAACUGAAACAUCUAAGUACCCGCAGGAAAAGAAAAUAACCAUGAUUCCGCAAGUAGUGGCGAGCGAACGCGGAACAGCCCAAACCACCCGUGUUACGGCACGAGUGGGGUAGAAGGAUCCACGCUACGGCAAGAAAUAAGUUAGCGGAAUACGAUGGAAAUCGUAGCCAAAGACGGUGACAGCCCAGUACGCGAAAACCGACAGAAGCCCAGUGGACACCUGAGUAACCCAGGACACGAGAAAUCCGGGGCGAAUCAGCGGGGCCCAUCCCGUAAGGCUAAAUACUCCCGAGAGACCGAUAGCGAACCAGUACUGUGAAGGAAAGGUGAAAAGAACCUCGAACAGAGGAGUGAAACAGACCCUGAAACCAUGCGCCUACAAGCGGUCGGAGCAUGUUAAAAUGUGACGGCGUGCCUUUUGCAUAAUGAACCUACGAGUUACUCUCGCUGGCAAGGUUAAGCGAUUCAGUCGCGCAGCCGAAGCGAAAGCAAGUCCGAACAAGGCGUACAGUCAGCGGGAGUAGACGCGAAACCAAGUGAUCUACCCUUGGUCAGGUUGAAGGUUGGGUAACACCAACUGGAGGACCGCACCGAUAAGCGUUGAAAAGCUUACGGAUGAACUGAGGGUAGGAGUGAAAGGCCAAUCAAACUUGGAGAUAGCUCGUACUCCCCGAAAUGCAUUUAGGUGCAGCCUCGAAGUAAAGUGAUAGAGGUAGAGCGACUGAUAAGAUGCGAGGGCUUCACCGCCUAUCAAGUCUUGACAAACUCCGAAUACUAUCACUUGAUCUUUGGGAGUGAGGGCAUGGGUGCUAAGGUCCAUGUCCGAAAGAGGAACAACUCAGACCACCAGCUAAGGUCCCGAAAUAAGGGCUAAGUUGAAUAAACGAAGUAAAACUGCAAAGACAGCUAGGAUGUUGGCUUGGAAGCAGCCAUUCAUUUAAAGAGUGCGUAACAGCUCACUAGUCGAGGAGUUUUGCAUGGAUAAUAAUCGGGCAUAAGCCCUUUACCGAAGCUGUGGAUGUCGUAAGACAUGGUAGGGGAGCAUUCCGGCGGCGACGAAGGCCGUCCUCGAGGACGACUGGAGCUUUCGGAAAAGCAAAUGUAGGUAUAAGUAACGAUAAAGGGGGCGUGAAACCCCCUCGCCAUAAGACUAAGGAUUCCUGAUCAACGCUAAUCGGAUCAGGGUAAGUCGGGCCCUAAGGCGCAGCCGAACGGCGUAGCCGAUGGAAGAAACGGUAAAGAUUCCGUUACUGGAUAUAGGAGCGAUGUGGAGACGGAGAAGUGACACACCCGCCUGCCGACGGAAGCGCAGGUUAAAGGAAGUAGGUAAACGCCGGGUAGGCAAAUCCGCCUGGCGUGCCGAAGCUGACAGUAUCGAGAGCCCCCGGGCAAUCGAAUAGCGCGUGUAAUCAGGCUCCCAAGAAAAUCCGCUAAGCAUAUUCUAUAUCCACCCGUACCCCAAACGGACACACGUAGUCGGGUAGAAUAUACCAAGGCGCUCGAAAGACUCACGGUUAAGGAACUAGGCAAAUUGACCCUGUAACCUCGGGAAAAAGGGUCCCCAGUAAGAUGGGGCGCAGAGAAUAGGUCCAGGCAACUGUUUAACAAAAACACAGGGCUGUGCAAAAUUUCAAGAUGAAGUAUACAGCCUGACACCUGCCCGGUGCCGGAAGGUUAAGAGGAGAGCUAAUCGCAAGAGAAGGCUUGAAUUGAAGCCCCGGUAAACGGCGGCCGUAACUAUAACGGUCCUAAGGUAGCGAAAUUCCUUGUCGGGUAAGUUCCGACCUGCACGAAUGGUGUAAUGAUCUGGACACUGUCUCAACCGUGACUUCGGUGAAAUUGUAGUAUCGGUGAAGAUGCCGAUUACCCGCAACGGGACGAAAAGACCCCGUGAACCUUUACUGCAACUUAGCAUUGCGUUUGGGCAUUUGAUGUGUAGGAUAGUCCGGAGGCUACGAGUCGGCGACGCCAGUCUUCGUGGAGCCGCUGUUGAAAUACGGACCUUCGAAUGUUUGAGCGCUAACUCGCUGUAGCGAGGACACUGUUUGGUGGGUAGUUUGACUGGGGUGGUCGCCU
This 2245-nucleotide ribosomal RNA is filed under the name human gut metagenome. Its description in RNAcentral is "bacterial LSU rRNA". It matches the Rfam family "Bacterial large subunit ribosomal RNA", at positions 1 to 2288 of the family's 2925-position model. The record is from RNAcentral.